Aquila chrysaetos chrysaetos is the source of this 11842-nucleotide long non-coding RNA. RefSeq lists it as uncharacterized. NCBI's taxonomy places the organism in Eukaryota, Metazoa, Chordata, Aves, Accipitriformes, Accipitridae. The transcript has 3 exons. The record is from RefSeq and is a predicted model, not a curated record.
UCCAGUGAGCUACAUUUAAACCGAGACCAGGAGGGGCUGAUUUGUUUUGGCGCAGGGAACUGAGAAGGAGACGAGCCACCGAGGUCUCCUUGCUCCUCCUUGGAGGCUCCUUAACUUGUCCUUGCUGUCGCCGGCCCCGGGGACCAGCUUACUUUGGCCCGGGUGGGUGAGCCCGGCUGCCCCCCCCCCCCCCCCCCCCCAGCCGCCGCCUGCGCAGCCCCGGCGCUGGGAAAUUUCGGUGCGAGCCGUGUAUGGGAGCGGGCGGUUGCAGGAGGUCCAGAGGUGGGGUUUUUUCCGUGUUUGUUGGCUUUUUCUUCCCCAGAAGUUAGAUAAAUUAUCGUCUGUGCGGCUCGCCGGUGCCUGUGCUCCUCAGCUCUUUUCAUACCAAAUGAAGUCCCUUCAAUUCUGGGAGCUUUCUGGUGAUUCCAAAGCGCAUCUGUGAGCUCACUUGGGGUUACACUCCUUGAGGUAAGGUCAUGAUAGUAGAAACUUAUUACUACGUACAAUAGAUGGGUGCCUGGAGAAGCUGUCUGGCUGAGCAAGAGGACAGCAGGAAAGAUUUGGGGUUUUUAAAUCAUUACUUUUGUAGACGAUCACUUUCCAAAGCAUCCCUGCGCUUCAGAGACAACGUGGUCAGGGCCGCUGCUGGCAUCCCUGUAACUUCUUUCCAAGCAUGCAAACCUCAGCAGGACCACCGGAGCCGCCGGCUGCGUUUGAGGAGUGCGUUGGCAGCUUGCUUGUGUUCGUGCAUGGAGGACAGGGAGUUACCAUGGGCCAGGACUUGCGAUCCUUUACACAGGAGCCAAUAUUAAGUACUUCUGUUAAAAUUCAUUUCAAAGUGAGUUUUAUCACUGUGACACGUGGAGGCUCCCCUAAAGGCAGGGUCCUGUGCAACUCAGCAUUGGCGAUAGAUGAGAAGCUGUUCCAUGACGGGAAGCUUAUACUCCAGGUAGGUGAAAAGGGGUUUUUCAGGGCUGGUGUGGAGGAAACUGUAUAGUAAUUCCUCUGUCACUAGCCCCAGUGCACACCUACACCAGGCGAUGCUGAUAUUCCCUGCGACAUCACCACCUCCCAGAAGCUGAGCCCCAGGACCGUGAAGCACCACUGCACCUCCCCGGUGAGUGCCGGAUGGAAGCACGAGGUGCUGCAGCGAGUUGCAGGAAUCAACACCAAAGUUUGUAGCAGAAAUUGAAUCCUGAAUUUCUGAAGCCAAAUACUGGGAUGAGCCAGGUUGCAAAACUCUGUGAUCUAGGCUUUUAGCCCCUGCUACUAGCCUGCAUGAGAUUUAAGAGGUGACUUCUCUUGCCUGUCCGUUUUAUCCUUCCAAAAGACCUUUGUCCCCCAUAGCAAAGGCAUGAGAACAAAGUCUAGCAACCACGUUUGUAACCUGACGUACUAGCUGAAAUCACCAGCUUCUGCAGAGUAUAUUAGUACAGUGGGUUGUACUCUGUGAUGACCAUGGAGGAGACACACUGCUACUUCUGCCAAGACCACAGCAAGGCAGCAGCCUCCAGCCUGGGGACAGGCAGGGGCAGUAAGCCCUGACACUGCCCGAGCACGAGCACCCGGAGCUCGUGAAUCCCUCCUCGGGCAGGGUUUGAAGAGCAGCUGGGAGAUAAGUUCACCUUUCGGCUGUACCCUCCUGGCAGACGGUGAGCUGAGCUCUCCUGAAUGUUCGUUCAAAGACUACGAGCAGCAGGGAGAAGAAGGUGGCUUAUGAGCUCCUUGGGUAGCAGGGUGUACGAAACCAAGGGGACUUUUCCAGGGUAUGCUACAUCUCAGCUCAUGGUGGGAUGCGAUGUAGGUUUUGACAUCGGGACAAGGAACUCUUUGCAAGCCAACCUCUGGCAGAGCUUGGUUAGGCAGCCCAGGAAAGGCAGAGGCGAGAGAGGGGAAUGUGACUGUCCCCUAUAAACACGUCCGAGAAGAAAGAGCGGUUUAAGGGGAAGGACAGAACGGGUGCAGGACAGAUGAGCAUGGGCUGGCCGUGAGCAAACACGAGCUGGAAGUUGGAACAAGGUCUCCAGCCAUCGGUACGCGAUGCUCUGCAGCAAGGGUGAUAGAAAUCACGCUAAUUUUACAAAGGAGCUCAGCACGUGUACGAAAGGGCUGAGAUGGGGUCUUCCCCUGCUCUAACCCUUAGUAUUUAAGCAUCACUUUUUAUGAGGUCUGCCUGCACAGGGUCAGGCAGGCACGACACCGAAGGCAGAACUUCCCUGCCCGUGAGUCUGUAUUUGCCCUUCCAGAAGUGGCACACUUGCAUGCACCAGAGGCAUCAGCCAUGUCAGACAGUCUUUCGGGGGGGUCUUCCCCCCAUUUUGUUUUCUACAUUCCUUUUGCUGGUGAACCGUUACCGUUGUGGCCGAGGCAGUUUGUCUGAUGCCUCUUGGGUUUGUACUGCAGCCAGCGCUUCUGAUUCUGUCUGGCCACAUAUUGUGUUUGGCUGGUAGGCUCACUCUGAAAAUUCCUCUUUUUUUCCCUUUUUUUUUCCUCUGUGGCAUUUUAAUAUCUCACAACAGGCAUCUUUACAAAGAGAUUAAAGGUCUAAAAGCAAACAGCUGUUUCAUAGGCACGCUUUAACACAGGUAACAAAAACGAACCCCUUGUAAAAGAGAAUUUGGGGAGAAUUUCUUGAGUGUGGGUAAUGCUUUUAAAACUCUUCUUCCACAACAGUGAGGAAUUAUGAACAAUUCCUGAGCUAACAUUCAUGCAAACCAGCAGGAAUUAUUCAGGUAAUUAAAGACUUAAAACCAUUUUAGGAGAAACUAGGAGAGAGUGAAGCUGUGUCAACCUCGAAAAGUUUCUACAGUGAUGACAGAAAAUCCAUGCACUUUUGGAUGGGGAGUGGAUGCAGUUCAGCUACAGGGGGAGGAAGAAGAAGAGCCCCAAAUCCUUUAUGCUAUUCAUUUAUUUAACCCUUUGGUAGAAAAACCAUUGGAAAAGUAGUUGGGGCUGUAAUGGAACUGGCUCGGCACCACAGUCCCAGCCUUUUUAUUAAGCUUUGUGAAGGCACUUCAGAGCCUUGCUUGGCCCUGGGGAGAGGGGAGAGCUGGAUCGUUGUGUUUGCACAGCCAAGAGACUCCUGCAAGGAGCAGGGAUCCCUUAGCAAGGAGGGCAGGAGUGGGUUUGUCCUACUGUGGACUUUUGUAAAUGAACUUUUAACACAACCCCCUUCCUUUCAGUGAUUUAGAGUAGAUUUUUUUUCCAUCCCUCACCUGACAGGAUUUUUUGGGAGGGGUACAGUUCCCGUAUUCUCCCAUUCUCCAUUAAACCUUUCCAGCUGGUAAGUCUGGGGAGCUGCUGGCCUGCCGGGGAGGCUUUUCCUCCUGCAUCCAUCCUCUCCUGCCUGGCACACGGGGUGGGAUGUGUUACCAGGUGCUGGCAGCCUCGCAGGGGACAUCAGGAGGGACCACAGCACAGAGCCCUUCCCAAGGGCUGGUUUUGGGAAAUGCCAGCCUGUCCCAAGGGCACGGAGGACUCCUCACCCCAAGGGAACAGCGUGGUCCCGGCUGCACGAAGACGGCUCGGCGUGGAGGGGCUGAGGCUUCACCGCGGCCGUGCCGAAAGGUGCUCGGUUACAAGGACUCCGGGGCGGUGGUGAAACGAAGCGCAGGGGGACAGCAGCGUGGAGGGGGAUUAGCUGAUUAAUGCACAGCUUGAUUAGGAAGUCGGAGCCAGGCAUGCGAGCCCUGCUCUCGUCCUCUCCCAUUCUUGCUGCUGACCCCUCUUCGCCAUGACCGCGAUGUAGGAAGCCGCUGGAGUCCACUAUAGGAAAAGUAAAUAUUGUCGUUUCAAAUAGAGAAUGGUUUAUUCUAUAGCAGAACAGAGGGUGCCUUCUCUUUGAGAGGUCACACUGAGCCUGGGGGGGUCUGUAGCCCACAGAGCUGCCAGCGAGGCUGCUCCUGAUAGUCGCAAGCCCUGGUGCCAGGCGUGCCACCUUAAACCCACGGGUGACAAGGGGGAUGUGCGUGGGGCCGGCGUGAACACGUCCAGGGGCUCCAGAGACUGUCCAUCACCUCCUUCCUGCAAGCAGGUCCUUUGCUAGCGUUUAGGCUCAGUUUUAAGCAAGGUGCCCAGGGCGGGAUGGAGUCACCGCGGUGCGACGGGCGUUGCGGCAGGUGCAGGCGCAGAAGCCAGCGAUGCUGGGGGAGAGGAGGGGUGCGGGCUCUGCCCUUCCCCACUGAAGCCAUGCUACCCUUUGUAUAAUCCCUUUAGCUUCAAUGGCACCGUGGUGAUUUACAGCACUAAUGCUUUGAUCCAGAACACGUUGGACCAUGGGACGUGAAUUAAAAUAUGAGAGAUGACUGUAAAGCACAAGUUUCCAUUCGUGGCCAGCUAUUUCGUGAAGACGUGACCGCAACCAGGUGCGAAGGUCUUGCAGGAGAGGAGGGAAAACCAAGCCAGUCUAAACAGAUUUGUUAGAACGUGAAUGGGAGCGCAGCAGCGUAAGUGCUAUUAAUAGGAUUUACACAGAUUAGUAAACUAAUCUGUGCAUUUCAGAUUGGAUUUCAUAUUAUGGAAAAGAAAAUUAAGCCACAUACCAUGCAGACUUUCCAGGCAGUGGUUUGCAAAUGUGAUCUAUUUGCUGGUAGAAGCGGCUGCUCAGAAAAGCGGUGGCAGCUCCAUCGGGUGGGUCAGUGACACCCGCUGUGAGCCCAGGAGGGGGGAGCGUGUUGUAGGGUGCAGAGCUGUGCUGGCGGAUUCAGGAGGCAGACAACGAAAGGAGCAGCACCGCCGUCCGUUCAUGCAGUGGCUCUUAAAAAGCACUGCCAGGCGGUAAAGCAGUGUCCAGGCUUGGCUCCAUCACCACUGGUGCAGAGCAGUCCUUCCUGGCUCAGCUAAAACGAAUAGGGAAGGGAGAUGUGAAGAAGAAAGGCUCGUAAAUAACUUUCCCUUCUCUGUACGUGGCCUGGAGAGGAGCCGUGUUGGGCAAAUGUUGUUGAAGUGGGAAGGAAAAGGCCUCUUCAAAGGGGAAGGGCAGAGUGCUGUUGCUGUGCCCUGCUCACGCUCCUCCUGGUGCCAGCGUACGGGAGGUGGGAGGUGGGAGGUGGGCAGGAAUAGGGUGCUGGGAGGCAUUAGCACAGCUUAUGGAGGGACCCAGGCCAAUUUUGAGAACUCACCUGUGUAAAGGGUAAGUUUAAUAGUAUCGUAACGCAUUAUAUAUGUAAUAUGUAUCUUAUAUAUUUCAUAUAUAUUUAAAUAUAUAUUAUAUAUAUUGUUUGUUCCAUCAGUAGGGUCUAGCCUCAGUAUUUCGACUGUGCCAUCCCAUCUGGGUGAAUCUCAGCCUGGCUGUACCUCUCCCCAAGAGGGAGGGGAGUGCUGCUACUGCUGUUGUACUGAUGGGGCGAUGGAAAUCCAGAUAUUUAGGAACUGGACUUUUGGUUCCCAGCGGUUAACAUCAGCUAAUCUUGGGAGAUAGUUACAGCUCAGGCUGCCUCUGAGUCAGGCUUGAAUAAUAAAGGAUAACCCAUCCUGAUGUUUGUGCUCCUUCUUUUUUUGCAAAAAUACAAGCAUUUGGAACAUUUCAACCCCCAUUACAGUCAGGGCCAGGGGGAAAACAUCAUUACCCUUUCAAAUUACUGUUUUAGGCCAAAGCUUCAAAACUCAGAGUGAGCUGAGCAACCCAGUAAUUUUUCUUCUUGCAGCAUCUUGUUAUGUUGCAGCAAACAAAAAUCCUGAAGUCGAUUUCAUUUGUCUGGGAGAACAAAUGCUUCAGAGUUUUCUGGGACCAGGACUGAAGGUGGUAGUUAAUAAAAGGCACGUGAUGAAGGUUUCUCUCCCUAUUAGCCUGUCUCCCUUCCCACAGCCCUUGAGGUUCGUCUUGUCUUUGCUAUUGGUGAUAACUCAGCUGACAACCAUUUGUUACAACUGGGAGCCAUUUGCUUGUGAUAAUUACGGCUACACUGCAAUGCAGGAACUUAAGAAUGAAGAUGAGCAGGAAGCGGUGGCCAUAACCCCCCCACCUACUUCCCUUCUCUCGCCAGCUACUAAAUAUUGCAAAGCUCAUAAAUUGUGGAAGUUGGCAAAUCAGAACAUUGCUUAAGUUUAAAACUGAGACCUCGGGCCAGGAGAUUUCAAUCCUGUAUUACCUGGAAUAUAUCAUUACUGACAGACUCGCUGGGAUUCGGUUUCUACCAGCUAUAAAGUGGGAUUCUCAAAUUAUGUCAUGCCAGCCUAGUUGCCUUUGAUGACAUGAUACACCAUUUGGAAAGGGAAAAGCCAUUAGACGUGACACAGCUUGGCAUCCAUCAGCCUUUUGAUGCUGUUCCAUGCCCUGAUGAACUGAGGAAAUGCGAUCUGGGCAAAGCCCCUGUAGGAUGGGUGGGAAAUUGCUCUGAAACAGUGAUUAUCUUGUGGUUCCAGGUCAAAAUACCACAACCUCUUAAGCAAGGGUUUCUACUCAGCACGGUGCCGGACAGUAUUUUCAGGAACAUCCUGGAUGUUGGAAGAGGGUGUCCUUAUUAAAUACAGAAACUACACCAAGGUGAGAAAAACUGGAAGACAAGCUGACAAUUCUGCACGAGUUUCACAGGGUGGAGACUUGGGUCCUGAAACACGGUCUGUGGUGUCUAUCAUGGAAGUAGAGCUUGCAAGGCAGGAGGCAUUUCUUCCACUGGACUUGGCUCUGGUAAAACCUAAGCAGGAGUGUUGUCUAGUUUUGGGUUUAGGUAUGGCUCUCCUAUUGCCUUCCAGGCUUGUGAGUCUGUGUUAAUAGCAGCUGCUUAUUUCACAGGGCUAUUUAAUUUAUGUAAGAAGAUCCUAAGAAUUGAGAAUAGUUAAGAAAUGAACAGAAAUAGGCUCUACACUGUACUUUAAUCUGAGGGGCUAGUCCUCCAGUCCAUCGGCAAAUGAGUAUUCCUUCUUCAUCGUGAGUAUCAUUCACCUGAACAAGUCCUGCUUUUGUAAUCUAAACUGUAAAGAUUCUGAUCCUUGUGGGGAAAUUUGGAAGGAACAGGAGCACUUCUGAGCCAUGUAUAUGUUAGCAAUACUUGCUGCCAUUACCGGGUAACAAACAUAAACCAAAAGUAACGGGUCAAGUAGUCUCAUUUGCUGGGACUGACAUUUCCAAAGGAGCGGGAUGAAGCUCUCCUGGCUUGAUACUCAGGUUAGCUCUGCCUUUUGUUUGCACACACACCGCCCCCCCCAGUAGCUAUAAGAAGCUAUUCCUAGAAGCUAAGGCCAGAAGGGGUUUACCGAGACCGUCAGCCCCAACUCCGUGCGUAGCAGGAGGUGCCAAAUGUCCGCCUGGCAUCCCUCUACCAGGCCAGUAAAUUGUCGGCAUUGCCCCGGCCGAGCCCGGGGAGGGCUGGCUGGCACGGUCCCUUCUCCGUCCUGGGACCAGGCGUCCUGCAGCGCUGCCGGCCAGUGCAAGGCGACCGUGCCUGGUAUGCGCAGCAUGUGCAGCUCUCCCGGGAGCGCUUCCAGCCAGGCUGGGCUCUUCUUGAUGAAGCGAUACCUGGAAAUAGGCUGCUGUCGGAGCCCGCUUCCAGGUACCAUUGGUUUUGUCAGUCCUGCGUCCCACCUCCCUCACGUCGCAGAGGUCCGCAGGGCUGAGGGGCUACAGGGAAGAUGGCAAAUGAGAACAGCCCCUAAACAACCCCCUGGGAAUUUAUCUGGGGGGGGGGGGGAUCCUCAGGGGUCCCAAGCAAAAGGAGCCACGGGGAAGAUGCUUUGGGGGGCUCAGCUGAAGCACCUCUGUGCUCGUUGACCUGGACGCUGGACCUGCUGUGGUCUCUCACCCAGCCCUCAUCCUCCUGGGCAGACGUGUAAAAGUGCGCCUCGCUUCUCUGGCCUGGUGUUGGCUGCUUUCUUGGCAAAUCUCAGGGAGACCAAGCCCUGCAGGUGACGUAAGAAGCAGAAACACCGCGAACAAUGUUUUGACGCUCUGGGGAGAACAUUAUUACAUUUAUAGGCAAGAGGAGGAGAAGGGCUACAACAGCCUUCAAGAAGCUAAUGUCAUUCCCUACAUAGGGGUGUUAUGUGCGUAAAUCCCUCCACACGCAGAUGAUAUCACGCCCCUAGAGUUUGCAGCUCUCUUACUGGUAUCGCUCGAGCAUGCUUCUCUUCCAGGCAUGGCACUAACAGGGCAGUUAACCCCUGCUGCCUCUGCUGCUCUUUGGCCACAAGCUCUGAGCAAGGGGACAACAUGCUCUUGCGCUGUUUAGCAGCAGGCCAAGAAUCUGCACCCAUCUGAGGGUCUUGAGCCUCAGCCUGGUUCACUCAUUGAGUUUUGGGACGGGGGCUCUGUUAUAUGUUGCCUGCAAGAGGGAGCAGAGGCUGCCUCUUCUGCAACUUCAUGGUGAACCUCAAAAUAAAGAAUUUUUUUUGAGAGAGACUCUUAAUCUAGUCAGUGGUCACUUCCACCUGCAUGCAUACAACACAACAGAUGAUAGUGUUUUUUAACACAGACAACCUAUAGAUUUCUAUGUCCCUUGCAGAUGUGCUUGGGCUGGUAUAGAAAUUGUUGCCUUCCAGAACCACCUUCUGAUCCCCCUGCCUGUCCUUGUUUGCUUAGGCACAGUAAAUAGCAAAAUCCCCAGCAUCUUCCUAGGACAUGCAUCCUAGGACAUGAGUUAUAAUUUGUCCUUGAUUUAUCAUUUUAAGAAACCACUGCCUUAGGACACGCAAGAGCAUGCACAGCUCAGGCUCUGGACUAACUCGUCUUCACCUCCCGUGAGCAUCUCUCUCCCUCAGCUCCUCGGCCUUGGUGGGAGAUGAGUCAAACCUUUCUCAGCUUGCCUUGAUCUGGAAGUGGGUGGCUUUGGAGUCCUUCAGGGCCCACAUGUGCAUCACCCUGAUGGGGCGAUUCACGCAGGAGCGGUUUUUCUGGAGCCUGAGCGUUUGCAGGCUCAGUCAUCCCGGUCCAGGGCCAGUCUAGUUAUCGACAGGGCUUUGCUGGAGGCUUACGUUGCCGUUGGUCAGCAUCAGAAGGCGGCUGUAAAUGCAGUAAAUAAAUGAAUGAAGCAAAUUCAGCUUUGGUGUAAGCAGCAAGUUCUCCUGCUGCUGUCAGGGGGCAUUGCAUCAGAGCCGGAUCGGGCUCCUGGGGAGGCGGCGUGAGCCAGCGGGCAAAGCAACAGGGGGAGUCAGAGACCUGGCUUUGCAACCUGCCUCUGCCACCCACUGCCCGCAUCGCCCCGGGCAAAUCGCCUCUUCUCCCCUCCCAGCUUGGAUCGCUUGUAUUUCUGUAUACUGUAAGUUCGUUCCUCAAGGGAGGGGCUGCAUUUUACAGCUGCAAGCGGUAUAAGGGAUACCACUAACACCAAAAUAAUUGGCUGUCAGUUUGCAGAGUAGAAAAGAAAAUGGUGCGGUGUAACAUUCUGGAGUCCUUCUGGGUAAUAUAAGAUCUAUUGCAAAGCACUUUGGCUGCAACAACAAAGCUUAUUGAUUAGCCCGAAGUAUUCCAAAUUGGGUCUUUCUGCCCGAGAAGUAGCAGGAUGAAGAAUUAAAGUACUUACACAUGAGAAUAUUGUACAUGAGUUAUUAAGUAACAAUCAGCUCUACUCCAGCGCUGCUCAGUUCCUCUGGACUGCAUGUAACUUCUGAACGUUUUAUCUUUUUCCUUUGGCUUUUGCAGGCGUGUGCCAGCUUCUGCAGCAUAUAAACUAGGUGCUAUUUUUAUUGAAUCUGGCUUUAAUGUAGUAGAUUUUUCACACGUGUGUUGGUUUUUUAUUGUUGGUCUCAUUCCUGAACUUUCUGGCACCUCUAAGUGUAAAGUCAGUUAUGCGCACAUUGUUUGGCAGAUGAAUUCCUGUUUCUGGGAAUCAUUUUCCUUCUAAAACGUAUUUUUAUAUUAAAAGUGUGAUCUGUAUCCAUAACCAAGAUAUACUGUCCUAAGACUCCAGCCCAAAGAUUUCUGCAGCCAGAGAUCACUACAACAGGGGAUGCAGUCCUGUAAGGAGACCUCCGCUUUCCAAGCCGUGAGCAUUUAUAUUAAGAUCUUGUUUUACUGAUUCAACCUCUGCCUCUUGGAGCAGGAAAAUUCCCUUCUGAUCUGGCACUGGGGAAAAUCCAGCCAGAAACAGAGGAUAAAAAGUGCUGUCUUCCAACGUUGCCUCCCUUUCCAGCUUGUCUCCCUGCUAGAUCAAGAGCAACCGCCCGUCUCGCCGAGCCUCCCUACUACCAGCUUUAUCCCAGCGACUGCCUCGGCAGCCCCCGGUCCUCCCUCCAGCAUCCCCAGGUCCCGUGUGAAAGGCGGGGGCUCGGGGAGCCAGCUGCCCACCCUUCCGAAGGUGCUGUCCCCCUUUUCUCCAUCUGUGCACAAGCUGCCAGGGAAGAAGUAACCGUGGCUGUGUGUGGUUUUCUCGCCCAGGGUGACCUGGAACACAUCUGCAAAGCCCUCCAAAGUAGCAGGAAUGCACUCCGUUAGGACAUGAUUCAUCCUGCAUACCGCAUGGGUGGCUGCUCAGGGAGAAUUUUGACAUUUGCAUACGCCGAGACUUUCCACUUCUUGGUUGCCCUCAAACCCCUGCACUUUGUCUGGUUGAGCGCACGGGGGCUGCGCAGCCAGAAACCCCCUCCCGGAGGGGAUCUCCCCUGGCUGGAGCCGAUCCAGCGGUGGUGGUUCUCCCCCCGGCUGCGUCAUGGGGCAGAAACGAGAGGAGAAGCUGCUCACAGCCAGGUCGAAUGAAGGCUUUAGAGCCUCAGCCCCUGCUCCAAGCAAAGCUGGGACAGAGCUGCUGGCCAGGGAUCCUUCAGGAAUUUGGUAUCUGCAGGGCAGGAAAAUAUUAUCACAGUCCUACCGCUCAGGCAAAACCAAAGCACGGCAAAGGGAAGUGCUAUGAACAGGAGGACUGAGUCACGCCCACUGCUUCUGGGAAGGAAAAGGAGUUGGGCAACAAGGCAAUUGUCUCUCUCUACCUUAGGGCUGCUCCUGGGUAACUGGAUUUACUUCGGCAGCUGCAGAGUGCGAGGCGGGUCAACCCCAGGCAGAGCGGGGAGAGAUGCUCCCAGGGCCGGGAGACGGCUCGCUGGGUUUUCCCAUCUGGCCCGCCAUCAGCGGCACUGCGUGGAGCGAGCGGGACGCGGCUGCGAUAAAUGGGAAAGAUGGAGGAAUGGUGAAUAACCGUGAGGAAAGGUAAUGUCUUAGUGAUUAAAAAUAUAAUCGGUAUAUACAACUGGACCUGACUAUUUGAAAAAAUUAAUCUCACAGACCUAAUCUUGCUUCCUGUAGCCUAAAUACCAUUUAAGUGGUGAAAGGGUGUUUUCCUGCUAGCAUGUGCAGGCUCUUAAGUAUCUCUAAUGUAUAUAUAGCUCCAGUGAGGGAAACUAUUUCACCUGUACAGGUUAGUCUGCUUGAACUUACUGUCAUUCACUUUGGCAUCAAAACCGUAACUAGGCAAUCCUGGUACUUGGAGCACAGACCUGAAGUAAUAUGGCAAUGUAUUUAAAUCCUUUAACAUCAAGGGAACGUAAAUUUCAGGCUGUUCUCAAAAGUCUGCCAAAACCAGGUCUGACACCAAGUGCAACGUUUUAAAGAAAAAUUUCAAGAAACACAAAUUUAGCGAAUAAAUAGGUAUUUACCUACCCCAAAAGAAACCCUGACACAGAAAGCAUCCCAAUGCCAUGGGAGCCGUGAGUAAAUACUGUGUAGUCCUAACUAGUAGGUGGAAAUACAUUUAAACAGUUAUCUAUCUAAUUAUGGUAUAAAUUUGGUUUGAGACACAGAGUUAAUAGCUAGGUUCGAUAUGAAAUAGAAGAUUUAUGGUUUUUAAUUUAGUAUUUUAGAAGCAAAGUUAGGGUCUGACAAAACCCACUCAAGUCAACAGAAAGUCUCAUUCUAGCUUAAGUAGGCUUUAGAUCAAUUCCCUGGUGAGCACAGGCAUUCCUAGUUGCCACCACCUUC